Molecule: transfer RNA, 83 nt
Filed under: Schistocephalus solidus
Lineage: Eukaryota; Metazoa; Platyhelminthes; Cestoda; Diphyllobothriidea; Diphyllobothriidae
Rfam family: tRNA
About the family: Transfer RNA (tRNA) molecules are approximately 80 nucleotides in length. Their secondary structure includes four short double-helical elements and three loops (D, anti-codon, and T loops).
Source: Rfam by way of RNAcentral
GGCCUCGUAGUUUAGGUGGUUAGAGCGUUGGAUAUAAUAAAGCCCUCCCAUUGCUGUCGUGGGUUCAAAUCCCAUCGAGGCCG